UCUUAACAUGCAGUCGAGCGAAGCACUUUAUUGGAAUUCUUCGGAAGGAAGAUUUGGUGACUUAGCGGCGGACGGGUGAGUAACGCGUGGGGAACCUACCUCGCACCGGGGGAUAACAGCCGGAAACGGCUGCUAAUACCGCAUAAGCGCACAGCAUCGCAUGAUGCAGUGUGAAAAACUCCGGUGGUGUGAGAUGGACCCGCGUUAGAUUAGCUAGUUGGUGGGGUAACGGCCCACCAAGGCGACGAUCUAUAGCCGGCCUGAGAGGGCGACCGGCCACAUUGGGACUGAGACACGGCCCAAACUCCUACGGGAGGCAGCAGUGGGGAAUAUUGCACAAUGGGCGAAAGCCUGAUGCAGCGACGCCGCGUGAACGAAGAAGUAUUUCGGUAUGUAAAGUUCUAUCAGCAGGGAAGAAAAUGACGGUACCUGACUAAGAAGCCCCGGCUAACUACGUGCCAGCAGCCGCGGUAAUACGUAGGGGGCAAGCGUUAUCCGGAUUUACUGGGUGUAAAGGGAGCGUAGACGGCUGUGCAAGUCUGGAGUGAAAACCUGGGGCUCAACCCCAGGACUGCUUUGGAAACUGUGCAGCUUGAGUAUCGGAGGGGUAAGUGGAAUUCCUAGUGUAGCGGUGAAAUGCGUAGAUAUUAGGAGGAACACCAGUGGCGAAGGCGACUUACUGGACGAUAACUGACGUUGAGGCUCGAAAGCGUGGGUAGCAAACAGGAUUAGAUACCC
RNAcentral lists this ribosomal RNA (738 nucleotides) under uncultured bacterium. RNAcentral's name for it is "bacterial SSU rRNA". It matches the Rfam family "Bacterial small subunit ribosomal RNA", at positions 48 to 787 of the family's 1533-position model. The record is from RNAcentral.